Molecule: long non-coding RNA, 2708 nt
Organism: Mytilus californianus (California mussel)
Lineage: Eukaryota; Metazoa; Mollusca; Bivalvia; Mytilida; Mytilidae
Exons: 2
Source: RefSeq, a predicted model, not a curated record
CAUACACUUCCCUCCUACUACUUAAGUCAUUUCGAUUUGGAAGUAAGACAAAUACAUGAAAUAAGUUUCCGUAUAAUAAGAGUUUAUAAAUAACAAUAUAUAUUAUUGUUUUUUCUAAACUGGACACUCGGUGUGAACAAAGACGUGAGGGUAAGUUACUAAACAAAGUUUAUCACACUAUAUAAGGAAGUUCAAAAGACCAACUGCAGUUCCAGCCAUGGAAAGAUGCCAGUGUGCAGUCUUAGAAAAUAGUACAGAGCACGUUUUUUGUUCGUCACAUAGCAAAGAAACUACUUUUCUAUGCACAGAGUGUAGGCAAUUCAUUUGUGAUCAAUGCGUGGAAUCAGUACACGCAAGGCAUGCCUUAAAGUCAAUUCCUAGACCAAACAACGUUAUACUAAGCAAUGAAAUACUUGAACAACAUAUUCAAAUACAUAAAGAAGUCUGGAAGGGUGAAUUGGACGAACAGUUGAACGCGAUGGAUCUUCAUGCAGCAAAACUUGUAGAAAUUAUAAAUAAAGUAAGAGAUUCCUACAAGGAGGAAAUCCUCCAAAAAAAUACACAGAACAAGUCAAUUCUUAACAAGAUCGAAGAAGAGUCUGACAACAACAAUCCAUCUACAUUAUCGUUGAUACAAACAACUUUUACACCUUCAAAAAUAGAUUUUCUACAAAUAAAGCGACAAUUUGGAGAACUGAGCGCAAGUGAAAAAAAUUUUAGUCUUCAGCCAGGAUUAUUAAAUGGCUGGCCCCGUUUACAUACAGUUAAAAAUCUGGCAACAGAAAAACUUCAAGGUUUUGUCUAUCGGGGUAUGUCAUCUGAUAUCGAGGACGAGUAUGAUUAUUGUGAUGUAUAACAUAAUAUUUUGAUUUGUUUGGAAACAAGUGAAGUCUAAAUUUGAUUUAAAAAUUAUCAAACUGAAUAUCGUUUCGAAAUUAUAAUUUAUCAUUUGGCUGAUUAUUUUAAGCAAGCUUAAUAAAAUAGUGUUAGAUACAAUUGUAUAAAGAAUUAGGAUACCAACGGUGGUACGUCUAUCAAACGUCCUUUCCUAUACCUGUUCAAAAUAAGACAAAAGUUACAAAGGCCAUUUAAAAGCCAUAAGUCAUGGGAAACUGACAACGCCAUGACAAAAACGGAAGAUGGCAAAAUGACAAACGCGUUCACAACUCACUUCAUAGGAAACAAAAGACUGUGCAACCCAAAACUUCACCAAAUAUUGGGGGAAUGGGGUCGAAGGUGCACUCGAAGGAUACGCAGAUUAUGCUCUACUAGUGCCAACCGUCAGAUGUGAGUAGUCUACUUAAAAACAUGAACACCGGUUAUGUGAACUUUUAACUAUAUAUUCCGAAUUAUGGUUUUUACCCACAUUUCAUCGUGGAAAUGUAAUAGUGCGAGCUAGGCAUUGUUCUAUGGAAAUAUAUUAUUGAUUUUGUUUGUCAAAAUAAUGAAGUAUAGCGGAAAAUUGGCGGCGAGCAGCGAUCGGCUGUUUAUAGUUUCAUUGCAACAAAUUAUGAACUGUUUGAGCAAUUCUUUUUUAAUUUCAAUAUAAUUAUGACAACAUGGAGGUCAAGUUAAUAUUGACGAUUUGACUUUUGCCGUUCAGCAGUUUUAGUCCUUGAUUGAGUGAACCGUUUAACCAAUUUUUUGAAAAUUCAAAUUCUUGUUACCGAUGAGAAAAUGGAGGGACAAGUUGGAUAUUGACUCUUUUCACCUUCACCAUGCAAAAAUAUGCUCCUUGAUUAAUUAGGAAAUAAACACGUAACGUUUUAGGUCAAACAAGCCUGAAAGUGCUUAAAACAUAAAAAGGAAAGAAUAAAAAAAACAAAAACCCUCCAAAAAUAUAUAUUUCCUUAGGACAAUGCUCCGCUUGUAGUGUAUCAUUUCAAAUACAAAAAAUGGGUCAAAUAAUUUUUUGGAUUGUACCGUGUAAAGUUCACAUCAUAGAGAACACAUGUACUCAGUUUCAAAUUGACGUGUUUACAUGUUCAUGGUAGACUACUUUAAUCCAAAGCUUAAUUAUGAUAUGGUACGGAAAAACCGGAAGGAUAAAUGCACGCGCGGAUUCAGCUAUUUAAAUAACAGUAGUGAAAGCAGGUUUGUCAUUUUCAACUCAAUGUUAUAAUUGUAAUGAAAUCGUAUGUUGAUAAAUAUGUUGAUCAGAUACCAUUUGUAAAAAGAUACAUAUUUGUACAGAAUACACGUUAAAUCAGUGAAAACAAAGUAUUUUCGCUUGUCUUGAGAAAAAGUUAUUGAACUCUUUUUCCAAACAAUGCAUAACAUUUUGUUAUAAACUUUUCUUUUCCGAUAAUACAAAAUUUAAAGGUUACAUACUGCGUUGCUGUACAGAUAGUUAAUCAUUUUAUAUUUGUAUACAUUGUGAGGCCGUUUCAGUAUUAUUUUUUAAAACUAAACCCACACUUUGAAAGUGGAAUGAUCUUAUCAAAUUAAUAACUGUCUGAACGAAAACGGCACAAAAUUCGAGAAUUCAAUUUAGAGAAAAUUCUUGUUUGGUCACCAGAUUUACGACUAUAUUUUUUUUAUCGAUUACAAAUAAUAAAUACGAAAUUCAGAAACAGAACAGGUUUUAUACGUUCUUAAAUCGAAACUGACUGUUUCCAAAUAAUCUUUUGUGUAGGAUAAUUAUUGUCAUUUAUACAGUAACUGUUGCAUAUUACUAUUAAAGUUGUAGCAAAUUUUAUAAUAAAUAA